RNAcentral lists this ribosomal RNA (430 nucleotides) under Pseudomonadota bacterium. RNAcentral's name for it is "Proteobacteria bacterium partial 16S ribosomal RNA". It matches the Rfam family "Bacterial small subunit ribosomal RNA", at positions 355 to 776 of the family's 1533-position model. Lineage: Bacteria; Pseudomonadati; Pseudomonadota. The record is from RNAcentral.
UGGGGAAUAUUGGACAAUGGGGGGAACCCUGAUCCAGCCAUGCCGCGUGUGUGAAGAAGGCCUUAUGGUUGUAAAGCACUUUAAGCGAGGAGGAGGGUACUGGUAUUAAUACUACCAGGUACUGGACGUUACUCGCAGAAUAAGCACCGGCUAACUCUGUGCCAGCAGCCGCGGUAAUACAGAGGGUGCGAGCGUUAAUCGGAUUUAAUGGGCGUAAAGCGUGCGUAGGCGGCUAAUUGAGUCGGAUGUGAAAUCCCCGAGCUUAACUUGGGAAUUGCAUUCGAUACUGGUUAGCUAGAGUGUGGGAGAGGAUGGUAGAAUUCCAGGUGUAGCGGUGAAAUGCGUAGAGAUCUGGAGGAAUACCGAUGGCGAAGGCAGCCAUCUGGCCUAACACUGACGCUGAGGUACGAAAGCAUGGGGAGCAAACAAG